RNAcentral lists this ribosomal RNA (566 nucleotides) under Naganishia albida. RNAcentral describes it as "eukaryotic LSU rRNA". The stretch from base 140 to 293 matches the Rfam family "5.8S ribosomal RNA". The record is from RNAcentral. Lineage: Eukaryota; Fungi; Basidiomycota; Tremellomycetes; Filobasidiales; Filobasidiaceae.
CGAGCUUGCUCACAGGCACAUCAUAUCCAUAACACCUGUGCACUUGUCGGAUGGCUUAGUGAAGACCGCAAGGUUGAAUCUAUCCAUCUACUUUACAUAACAAUUCUGUAACAAAUGUAGUCUUAUUAUAACAUAAUAAAACUUUCAACAACGGAUCUCUUGGCUCUCGCAUCGAUGAAGAACGCAGCGAAAUGCGAUAAGUAAUGUGAAUUGCAGAAUUCAGUGAAUCAUCGAAUCUUUGAACGCACCUUGCGCUCCUUGGUAUUCCGAGGAGCAUGCCUGUUUGAGUGUCAUGAAAACCCUCAACCCUAGAUUGGUUAAAACCUUUCUUUGGUUUGGAUUUGGACGUUUGCCGAUGAUAAGUCGGCUCGUCUUAAAAGUAAUAGCUGGAUCUGUCUCGCGACAUGGUUUGACUUGGCGUAAUAAGUAUUUCGCUAAGGACAUCUUCGGAUGGCCGCGUUGCAGGACUAAAGACCGCUUUCUAAUCCAUUGAUCUUCGGAUUAAUACUCUUGACAUCUGGCCUCAAAUCAGGUAGGACUACCCGCUGAACUUAAGCAUAUCAUAA